RNAcentral lists this transfer RNA (70 nucleotides) under Amia calva (bowfin). Its description in RNAcentral is "tRNA-Glu". It matches the Rfam family "tRNA". From Rfam's summary of the family: Transfer RNA (tRNA) molecules are approximately 80 nucleotides in length. The record is from RNAcentral. Lineage: Eukaryota; Metazoa; Chordata; Actinopteri; Amiiformes; Amiidae.
GUUUCUGUAGUUGAAUUAACAACGGUGGUUUUUCAAGUCACUGGUCUUGGUUAGAAUCCGAGUGGAAAUU